UAUGGAUGUGAAAGGCUUGAAUCAUUAUCCGACUUAAGACACAUGGAUAGAUGUUAAGGCUUUCUCUUUCUUGACAAACAGUGUUUUCUUUGGCCAUGACAAAUAGUUCUUGAUCUGAUGUUACUCCCUGAACCUUCACCGUUUUGUUAUGCAAAAGUAUAUCCUAUCUGGGAUCCUUUUUUUUUUUUUUUUUUUUUUUUGUAUAUUUGGCAUUUUAGUUGUUGCUACUAAGAAUGGAUUUUGGAUUAUGAUUAAUGAGUUGUCAGUCUGAUUUUUCUUUAGUAUCUGUAUUGAUUUAUCUGAUUGUUUGAUGGAAGAUUUUUGGAUAUGUGAUGACGAGAUUAUAGAUAAAAUUAUAUCAAAAAGUAGAAAUAAUUAAUGUGUAAGGUUUGUUGUGCUAAGAUUUUACCCCUUAAUUCUUACCAAUCCCUGUCUGUAUGAUUUUAGAGCUUCCAGGAGUAUGCUGUAUGCACUAUGCCUCUCUACUCCUAGGAGUAGAGGUACGGUCUGGUGACAACCAUAAAUUUUAAUGUCCACGAACCCUGCUUGAUACGUUUGGUCUGGAUAUCUAGGAGUCUGCUCUAAAAUAAAAUGAAAUUAUUAAAUGCCAACUGUUCAGAUUUAUGAAAUCAAAGUGCCAUUGUUAGCAUAUACGUAUCUUUGGCUGGGCACUUUGCGGAUGAUGCUCAAUUUAUUAAUAUAUUUUCCAGAAUAAAUCUUCCUCUCUCUUCCUUUAACAUUGUUUGCACAUUGCAGGAACCAGAGGAUGGCCGAAGACCAAUCAGUUGUUGGGAGGAGACGUAUUUACUAUGAUCAGAAUGGAAGUGAGGCACUGGUGUGCAGUGACAGCGAGGAAGAGAUGACAGAACCUGAUGAAGAGAAACAUGAAUUCUCUAAGGAGGAAGAUCAUAUUAUAUGGUAAGGUCAUUUAGGAGCUAGCCUGAAUUAUAUAUUAAAAAUUAUUGAUUAAUAUCUAUUUCAACCAAUUAUGUUGGCAUACCCUGGUCGGUUUGAAAAGCUUAUACAGAUGUUUUUAACAUGCAAUGUGUUAGUAAGGUAGACAGAAAAGAAGCUUGAAAGGCUCUAAAUUAUACCUGCUGUAUUGGCCAUGUGCAUUUGCUUGGCCUUCAUCUUUACAGUAAAUUAUUAAAAUGUGAGACAUGUGAGAACAGGAAGGUAAAAAUAGUCAUUAUUUUGUGAAACUAAUUUUUUGGAUCGUUGUUCGGUAGCAAGAUAAAAUAAUAUUAGGAGAUUAAACAGGAAUAACCUAAUUGUAGAGAAUCACCAUAGCCAGAAAUGAAUUAUUACCGGCUAAAAAUGAAAAAGAAAACUCAUGGAGUAGGCAUAGGUCAGUAGAAAUCUGGAAAAAAAAUAGAAAUACCAAGAAAUGGCCUCCUUCUAGAUUAUGGAAGAAACUAGCUAGUAGCUACUGGAACACUAUGCAAUGAAGAAAGUUUCGAAAGUUGCGGCAACUAUACCCCAUCCUUUGCUAAAGGUAGGAAAUGAGAUUUACAUUAUGUUUUCUUAUUUAUCAGAGAUCAGUUCUCAAGGGAACCACCACAACUUAGUACCCGAUGGAAAUCAAUUUCCAGGACAGCAUGAUUAAGUUCCGAUGCACUCACUAUUUUGUAAUAAUUGACCUAGCUCAGAUAAUUUUUCAAAUUGAAAGUGUCGGGUAAGAUUACCAGGAAAUAAUCCUAGUUUCCAGUUUUUAUGAUCUCUGUUUGAUUGCUUAGUAUUCAAUUAUCUUUAUCCUUGGCUGCUUUCUAAACAAUCUAUAUGUUUUACUAAAUCUUAUAGGACAAUUGCCGAAGAACAUGAACUAAGUGAUGAAGUGCUGAACGUCUUGACACAUUAUAUUAGUGGAACCUCUUCUGAAAUUAUGGUACACACUGCCCUGUAUUAAUGAUUCUUUUAGUAUGUUAAAAUUAUUAUAAACAAAACAAGUAAAUGUUGUUACAACUGUUACCGAUAUUUUAAAUUAAAAUACCAUUAAUCAUUUUCAGUUUAAACUUUGAAUUUGUUAUUGAUUCAAUCAUGUUAACCGCUUAGAGAUGUUUGCAAUAAGCAGGAACGCUACAACGUGCUCAAGAGAAGCCACGAGGAAAAACAAAGACCGAAUCCCAGUUCUGAGGAAAAAAGGCUCGACACAAGCAUGUAUCUAGAAAAAAGCCUUGGUGCUAAUUUGGAUUCUCUAGAUAAUCUUUUCUGUCGUCGUUGUUUGGUACUUGACCUCUGACCCUGUUCAGUUUAGUGUUCAAGAGAUCCACUGAAUAUUGAUAAUUAUUUAUAAUAUUUCAUUUUGAUGUCAUUUUAACAGGUAUUCGACUGUCGACUGCACGGUUGUUCUCAAGGUCUAGUUAAUUCUGUAAGUGUUGCAUUCUUUCUUACAUUUAUGUGAAUCAUGUAUAUUCAUAUGCUAACCUUUAAAACAUACUGUUGGACAGACUGAAAAACAGCCAUAUGCAUCUGAAUCUGAAGACGAUGGCAAACCAUGCAGUGACCAGUGCUAUCUCCAGGUAGGUCUUUUACUUUGGAUAUUGAUAUGUAUGAAAUACUUAUGCUGACUUAAAUCAGUUCUGUAAAUUUAUAAAUUAAAUAUCGUAAUGUACUUUCUGGUAGCAGUUUAGUAGUCAUCCUAGAGAAAGGAACUUUAAGAGAUGUCGAAUGAAAUUUGUCACUUCUAGAAGCUGACCCCUUGGAGAGUGCAAUUAUUAGUGUAAGAUUCAUACUUUCAAGGAAAGAGAUCUGCUAUGGGAUUUUAAGGGGUGAAAAGCCUGAAGAUGGAAAAUGUUGUUCCCCUAGCCUGAGGGGUCGAUUAAGUGUUUGAUCUUAGAAAAUGCCAUUUGAUGAUCUAAGAUUUGCAACAAAAACAACGUAUGCUAAAAAGAUUGACACUUCACAUGUUUACACUUGCACAUUGGAAAUGGCAUUAGGUGCUUUAUCUUACAUGUACUGUAGGAAUGAACCCCAAGAUUAUUGAAUCUUAGGCUUGGUUUAUGUAGUUUGUGAUAAUUAAGGUCUAUUUUCCUCCUUUACGUUGCAUGUUAGAUAUAGUAUUAGUCUGGGAGUUUCUCCUCUGUUGAAUUAGAUAUUAUUAGGGCAGACCCCUAUUUUCCUGUAAUACAUUUUUUUAGUGUAUGGUAAUUAAAAGUUCAAAUUAUGUAAAAAAAAAUUUGAAGAUUGAGAAAUUCGAAGAAAAUGCGAGCUGAAUUUGGUUACUUUGGACCUUUUAGUAACAAAGUGAACUGCAUGGAAGGCCUGAGACAUUUGUAUUUGAUUCUCUGACAGUUUCCUGCUUUAUAAUAUUACUCUUCAUUAGCAUGAUCGAAGUAUUGAGAUAUGCUGACCAUAGAGUGUUAAAAAUUUAACCGUCAAAUUGCUAAUAUGGUAUCUGAUACAUGCCUUCAUGAUAACAAUUCCCGAGGCACGUGGCCUUCAAAUUGCUAAUAUUUAUCAUUAAUUUUUAUGCACUUGAAUUUAUGUAUUACAUCUCUUGAAUAUCAUUACACGAACAUGCUUCCUUAUAUCUCCAGUUGUACAUGACUACAUAUUGUUCUUCCAUCGUAAAUAAGAUUAUUAUUAUCUUGCAUGCUUUUCUGAGUAAAGUUUUGCUUUUCUGUAUGUCUUUCUGAUUAUGCAGUUAAGAAUUGCCAAAGACUUGCCUGAUACUUCACUCGCCAAUUCAUCCGCUAAGAUUGAAAGUAAAGAAGAGGAAUGCUCGGAUCCAAUUUCCUCAAAUGAUGGUGAAUCAGGUUGCAAUUGAACAGAUACCCCUAGGAUACCUGCUUGUACAUAUAUAAAUCAUAUCUUCUUUUGGUAGUCAAUAAAAUCAGUGCUAAUUAUAUGAAGUUUGGAUACAGGGAAACGCAAGUGUUUAACGCAAACAUCCGAGUUUCAAGAGAGUUUGACAGGUUCUUCUAAUGAUUCUCAAGUUUAUAAUAAGAAACAAAAAGUGUUAUCAGGUCCUACUGAAGUUGCAACGGAUGCCAAAACUAGUUUAGCUGAGGAUGACAGGUCUAGUACCAAAUUAGCAGAUAUGGACAUUAUUGAAAUCGAUAAAGACGAUUUCGGUUCAUCCACCAAACAUGUUGGCAGUACAUCAUCUAGCCAUGAUUCAAACAAGGUAGCUGUUGUCUCAUUGUUAACGUUAAUGACUUCAGAUCAGGAUGGCGAUAGUAUUAUUAGAACUUUAGUAGUUGCUUAACACUCUAUGUUGUGAUGAUGCAGGCUCCUGUAUUUGUAGGUUCUCAGGCAAAAGGGGUAGUAAGUAGCAACGAGUGGAAACCCCUUGAAAAAGACUUAUAUUUAAAGGGCAUAGAAAUUUUUGGAAGAAACAGGUAUAUAGACUUUCUAGAAAAUAUAUAAUAUGUCAACUGUAUCCUAUCUAUAGAAUUACCCAGUAGGCUAUGUUUAAAUUAGAACUUUCAAACUCUAGUGUUGUUGAUAAAAAAAAUAUUGAACUUGUGUUACUGCCAUACCUGAAGGAUGAAACACUUUUAAACAAAAACUAAGUUGACUAAUACACAUGUGCGUGCUUUAUAGAUCUGCAAUAAAUACUCAGUUUCCACCCGACCCAUGAUAUUUAUAUUAGGUUGAAUUUAUAUUUAUAAAAUUGAAAGUUUUUAAUUUAUUUUCUGUAUAAGGAGUAUCGUGCUGUAGCUUACGAUUUUGAGGUUUCGCAUGCCUUACAGUUGCCUAAUAGCAAGGAAUUUACUUCCUGGCCUAAAGACUUGCUCAGAGGUAUCUGCUUACAUGAAUCAUGAUGCAGCAGCAAUGUCUCACGGAUCUACUGCCCUAUCAAAUUCCUUUUUCGAUGGUGAUGGGAAUGUUGAUGCAAAAAAACUGGUAUAUGUUUCUGGCUUUCAGUUCCAUGUUUUCCUUGCACAUCUAAAACUAAUAAUAGGAAGAAAGCAAAUGGGAAGACCACAUCUGAUAUUCCUCUUAAGCUAGAGAGUAUUUCCUGUGUUUUUCAGUUUCCCAUUAUAUUAUCCUCUGAUUGAAGUCAACUUGUACAUAAAUGAAGUCAAAUACAGUUGUUCUGCUGAUAUCUGGCAAGUACAAAUCUGAGAUUUUAAAACAAUAGUAAUGGUUACGAAGAGAGUGUCUGAGCAUAAGGAUGGAGUAUUAUCGCAGUACUGCACAAUUGCUAUAUAUAUAAUUAUAUAUGUCUACCGAUUAAGUAUUGCAACUUGUGCCAGAAUGAAAAACAGUAUUGUCAGAAGAAGAGUGAGCAAUAGAAUAUACUCCCUCUGUCCCAUUUUAACUGAUGUUUGACUUUUUAACACGUAUAUUGAGGUGUAAAAAAACAAUAUCUACACUCAAUAAAAAAUUUCAAUUCUUAUAUCAACUAAAAGUUUGGACUCUAAACUUUUAUUUGAUAUAAAUUUUAUAAAAAAUAAUCAUGUUUAAAUGUAAUUUUUUUAAUAUCUUAAAAUACGUGUAAAAAAGUCAAAAGCAGUUAAAAUGGGACGGAGGGAGUAAUAUUCUUCCCCUGGGCUGCACCACAAAAAUUUGCGCGAAUUAUUUUUAUUAAGAAAAAUAGUCUGAAAUUAUCAACAGAGGUUUACUCAUUCAUCCAAUGAAUAUACUUAAUAGCUGUUACAAGUAUAGCAAUAUAUUUGAGUUAGAUUCAAGAAUUUUGAAGUAGCACCAAUGUAGCUUGACUGGAUAAGAGACAAAAGACAAGUAUAUUCAUGUUUCCAUCCAUUCAAUAUGCAGCAUCAAACUUGGUGCCCUGCAAACCAAAUACAUUCAUGAUAAAAGAAAUUGUUCUGCCUAAUAUAUUGUGCAUCACAGGAACAAGGUCUUCAGGCAAGGUCGCGUUUAUUUCGUAGAAGGGGCAGAACACGGAAGCUCAAAUACUCUUGGAAGUCUGCUGGCCAUCCAUCAUUUUGGAGAAGGAUUGCAGAUGGAAAAAAUCAGUCUUGUAAACAGUAUAUACCAUGUGGAUGCGACUCUAUAUGUGGAAAACAGUGCCCCUGUCAUCAAAAUGGAACUUGCUGUGAAAAAUAUUGUGGGUAAGUCAAGUUUAAGUGGAAAAAUAAUUUUGAGUGAUCAACUUUGUUGACCAAGAGCCUCGAAAGAUGGGUGUAGUUUUAGAAAACAGACAAGCAAUACUUAUAUAAUUAUAUUAUAUAUCUAUUUUUCUGUACUAGAUAAUCUGAAACAGACUAAAUCCUAUUGCCUAAUAAUAAAUAUUAAAAUUUUGAAAUCUUUAGGUGCUCCAAGAGCUGCAAAAAUAGGUUCAGAGGAUGUCACUGUGCAAAAAGUCAGUGUAGAAGUCGGCAGUGUCCAUGUUUUGCUGCUGGACGUGAAUGUGACCCUGAUGUUUGCCGUAAUUGCUGGGUUAGGUAAUCAGUCUCUUGCUCAUCUACCUCUGAUUUUGAAACCUUCACUUGGUAAUUGAUAUAGUCAUAUAGAUCUGUAUUGAUCUUGAAUAAUAGUUUUGUGCAUAUGCGAUGUUCAUAUUUAUAUAAGGAAACCUAUAUUUGGAAAUUACAGGCAGCCUAUCUGAUUCUCUUUCAGAACUAACCACUUCAAAUAACAUCAUUUAUAAAUUCUAUCAUGGAAUGAUUAAAUUACUACUUUUUCAGUUGUGGUGAUGGCUCAUUAGGUGAGCCACCUCGACGAGGAGAUGGCCAUUGUGGAAAUAUGAGACUCCUCCUUAGACAGCAGCAAAGGGUAACUAUUUAUAUUAAAUUCAACAUGAAUAAGCAUUGGACUUGGACAAAGCUUGUACUUAUUAAUGUUCUCUUCUUUUCCUAUUAGAUCCUCUUGGCAAAAUCUGAUGUUGCUGGAUGGGGAGCCUUUCUGAAGGUAGGAAAGCACAAAUGACUUGUCGUCUCUCGUAAUUGUUUAACUUCUCAAUAUUUUCAAAUGUAUAACUUAUCCACUUGGUUUCAGAAUCCCGUCAACAAGAAUGACUAUCUUGGAGAAUAUACUGGUGAAUUGAUCUCACACCGAGAAGCCGAUAAGCGAGGGAAGAUCUAUGACCGUGCUAACUCUUCGUUCCUUUUUGAUUUGAAUGAACAGGCAAGUGACCACUGCUAAAUAUUGUGUAUCGUGCAUAGUAGUAUAAUUUAACUUAGAAACCAAUUGUUUGAACAAUAUGUGUCAUCACGGAACUUGUGGUACAUAAAUUAAAGAGAGUGGUUGAAUUAAUUUUGAUGCCAUCUCAAAUGCAGCAUUUUUCAUCCUACACUAUUUUUCUCCUGAUUGCGUUCUAUAGCCUCGGUUAAAAACUUAAAAUAGUUAAUUGAAUCCACCGACUUCCCAAGUUCCAGCAUUUUCACAAUUGCAGAAACUUGCAUUAUAGUAAUAAAAGACUGAAAGUAAUGAAACUCUAAUUUUUGUACUGUAGAAUUCGGAAUACCAAUGCAUCUGUUUUUUUUUUGUUUUUUUUUUGGUGCAGUAUGUCCUUGAUGCUUACCGCAAAGGAGACAAGCUGAAAUUCGCAAAUCACUCGUCAAAUCCCAACUGCUAUGCAAAGGUAUUCAACUUAAUAAAUUAGCAUGCCCAAGUAUUUUUGUAUUUGUUAUGAUAAAGCUGAUUACAGAGAGUCCAUCUUCAGGUUAUGCUCGUGGCAGGUGAUCAUCGAGUUGGCAUUUUUGCCAAUGAGCGUAUUGAAGCGAGCGAAGAGCUAUUCUAUGAUUAUCGUUAUGGACCUGAUCAAGCACCGGAAUGGGCUCGUAGACCUGAGGGUUGGAAGGGAGAUGAUGCGUCAAUUCCUCAAGGUCGGGCCAAGAAACACCAGUCUCAUUGAUUUUUUACCAGUUCUGGCGGCACAGUUGUGGAAAUUGCAAGAUUCAUGUCCCCCUCGGAGUGGAUAUAUAUAUACACAAUAAGUAUACAAAUAUAUCGUGUUAUAGCUAAUUCAUUUCAGCUGUGAUGUAGAAAUGAUGAUUCCUUUUUCCUUUCCCCUUUUUAAGGAUCUUGUGAAAUCAAAUUUCUGGUAUGUUUCUUACAGAAUAAGUUCUAGAACAGCUGUCUUUGAUGAUACACAUGUAGCAGCAGCAAUAAGAUAGCAGAAGUUUAUUUUUAAAAGUAAUUUUUGAAGAUGGCAAAAGUUUUUGAUGCGCGCUUUCUAUCUCUCCGAUGAUUUAUGCAAAUAUGUAGCUUGAAGAUGCUUAAAAGUUACUGCUGGUUGUAUGAGUGACUUAUAAGUACUAUUCAUGUAUUAACAAUUAAAAUUAACAAUGCUAUUAAUAUUUAAACCAAGACAAUGAAAAGUUAUCGUUACAUGAUAGAAUUAGAUUUUAUUUAAAUUUCAUACUGGUAAGUGGUAAGGUACAAAUAGAUAUGCCGCUCAUCAUCUUUCUCUGUUUUCUCUCUUAAGAGUUCGAAAUCACUAAUUUGAAGUGGUUUUUUAGAUGGUCGAGUUUUAUCUUUUUUGCAUUUUAGUUGCGAGAAUUUAUAAAUUGAUGGGCAUACAUUAUCUUUAUAUCUUAAAAAACAUUUUUAUAUAUCAUUUUUUAAGGAUCACCUUUUUGAGAAAAAGCUAAUAUUUUUCCUUAAAGAAAAUAGUCUGUUUAUCUUUUUGAUGAAUUAAAAGAUAUAUGAGCAGCUAAUUAAUUUAGGGGUAAAAGAGAUUAUAUAAAACUGAACAUACUUUAAGAAGAAUUAAAACAAAUAAAAAAAUUCAACCAAUUCACUACAAAUAAACAUGUAUUAACAUAUUUAACAUAUUAGUAAAAGAUAUAAUUAGCACUUGAAGUUGAUGUCAUGAUAAAAGAUAAUAUUGCUGGUGUAAAUUAGAAGCAAUAUUUGCAGAUUCUUUGUUAGACCGAUUCUUUCUGUUGCAUCAUUUCCGUAGAAAAUGACUCCUCCAACCAACACAUCCACACACAUGUGAUAUAAGAAUUAGUCAAACACUUCAAAUUAAGAUUCUAAUACAUAUAAGUUUAAGCUUCACAUUUGCACACAUAUUAGGAGCAGCUUCCUGGUUUCUUUAUUUUUUCAGGUCGAUCACAUAUGUUGUACAAUCAUGCUUCAUUAUCUUUAACAAUUGUUUUACAAUGUGGUAUUGUAUCAAUGCUAUAUGCCUAUUUAUUGUUCUGUUUCUUGUAAAUAAUAUUCAAGAAUCAUUGGUUCUGAGAUUAUUUGACUGAUUGCAGGGGUUUGAUUAAGGUGCACAUAAUCUAGAACGAACUCGAGUUCGAAGAAGAAACGUAGUAUGGGGGGAGGACCGAGGAUUGUUCAUGAAAAAUUAAGGGGACCUAAUCUGGUGAAGGAAAUUGCAGUGGCAGCUACCAUGGGAUUAGUCAUAGCUUCUUUCUGGAAAUAUAAACACUGGGAAAUGAAGAAUACUAGACGACAAUUCUACGACAUGCUUGAUAGAGGUGAAGUUAGUGUGGUUAUUGAUGAGUAAUCUUGUAGCUAGUUCUUGUUAAUUGUGCAUGUAUGCUACUAAAUGCUGGUCAUAUAUGUACAUGAAAUAAGAUUGCAGGUUUGGUUUUGGCCUUUUGAUUGUGAUUCGUUUGACAAACUCUUGAAUAAUAGUAAUAUUUUGUUGGAGUUUCUGAUUCAUUUGCAUGUCCUCUCACAACAUUCAUUAAUUCAUCUUUCAGUUAGUAUAGUAAUGCCUUAGCUACUGGUGGUUUAUUUUGUUUUGCAUAAUUAUUGUGUCCUCAGUAUAGCAUGCAUGGAUCCUGAAUUUCAAUCAGUUUCUGCAUAUGUACCCUGACUCAUUAUUUUGUACCCGUGUCGGACACUCGACACUCAGACAUGAGUAUGGAUACUGUGACAGUUAUUUCAAACAAAAAACAUGUAAAAUUUUAAAAUAUUGCCCGAAUCCGACACGGGAGACGUAUCUGGUGUAACAUAGGUUUCAGCUGCAAACUCUGCCUAUCUGAGCUGGACUCACUCUCAAAUCCACAUCUAUUAAGCAAUUAUUUUUUUCUGUAUAUACUUUAAUUGAAUCCUCCUAAAACAUGGAUCUAUUUGUCAUCCACAGGCACAAACUGCACUUAUCUCUUCCGCUUGGACAUCACUUAACUAAGAUAUAAUUAAAUUCGACUAAAAAAAUUAGUAAGAAAAUACGGAUAAUUAGGUGCUGUAAGUACUAUGUGAGCAAGUAUGUGUAACUAUUUAAGUAAUCAAGUACUUAUAAUUACAUCACAUAAUGUUAUGACAGAAGUUCAUAUAAGAAAGUUGUCACCCGAAAUAUUCCAA
RNAcentral lists this long non-coding RNA (10173 nucleotides) under Daucus carota (carrot). RNAcentral's name for it is "long non-coding RNA (DCAR_LNC000591)". The record is from RNAcentral. Lineage: Eukaryota; Viridiplantae; Streptophyta; Magnoliopsida; Apiales; Apiaceae.